AUUGAACGCUGGCGGCAUGCCUUACACAUGCAAGUCGAACGGUAACAGGUCUUCGGAUGCUGACGAGUGGCGAACGGGUGAGUAAUACAUCGGAACGUGCCCGAGAGUGGGGGAUAACGAAGCGAAAGCUUUGCUAAUACCGCAUACGAUCUCAGGAUGAAAGCAGGGGACCGCAAGGCCUCGCGCUCACGGAGCGGCCGAUGGCAGAUUAGGUAGUUGGUGGGAUAAAAGCUUACCAAGCCGACGAUCUGUAGCUGGUCUGAGAGGACGACCAGCCACACUGGGACUGAGACACGGCCCAGACUCCUACGGGAGGCAGCAGUGGGGAAUUUUGGACAAUGGGCGCAAGCCUGAUCCAGCCAUGCCGCGUGCAGGAUGAAGGCCUUCGGGUUGUAAACUGCUUUUGUACGGAACGAAAAGACUCUGGUUAAUACCCAAGAUGAGUGGACGUUACUCGCAGAAUAAGCACCGGCUAACUCUGUGCCAGCAGCCGCAGUAA
Molecule: ribosomal RNA, 499 nt
Filed under: uncultured bacterium
Lineage: Bacteria
Description: partial 16S ribosomal RNA
Rfam family: Bacterial small subunit ribosomal RNA
Source: RNAcentral